This 442-nucleotide ribosomal RNA is filed under the name uncultured bacterium. RNAcentral describes it as "partial 16S ribosomal RNA". It matches the Rfam family "Bacterial small subunit ribosomal RNA", at positions 338 to 795 of the family's 1533-position model. The record is from RNAcentral.
CCUACGGGAGGCAGCAGUGGGGAAUAUUGGGCAAUGGGCGCAAGCCUGACCCAGCAACGCCGCGUGAAGGAAGAAGGCUUUCGGGUUGUAAACUUCUUUUAAGAGGGAAGAGCAGAAGACGGUACCUCUUGAAUAAGCCACGGCUAACUACGUGCCAGCAGCCGCGGUAAUACGUAGGUGGCAAGCGUUGUCCGGAUUUACUGGGUGUAAAGGGCGUGCAGCCGGGAAGACAAGUCAGAUGUGAAAUCCCGGGGCUCAACCGCGGAACUGCAUUUGAAACUGUUUUUCUUGAGUACCGGAGAGGUCAUCGGAAUUCCUUGUGUAGCGGUGAAAUGCGUAGAUAUAAGGAAGAACACCAGUGGCGAAGGCGGAUGACUGGACGGCAACUGACGGUGAGGCGCGAAAGCGUGGGGAGCAAACGGGAUUAGAUACCCUUGUAGUC